GUGCUCGUUUCUGCAGCACAUAUACUAAAAGUGGAACGAUACAGAGAUUAGCAUGGCCCCUGCGCGAGGAUGACAGGCAAAUUCGUGACGCGUUCCCUAUUUUU
Molecule: small nuclear RNA, 104 nt
Organism: Suncus etruscus (white-toothed pygmy shrew)
Lineage: Eukaryota; Metazoa; Chordata; Mammalia; Eulipotyphla; Soricidae
Source: RefSeq, a predicted model, not a curated record